Astyanax mexicanus (Mexican tetra) is the source of this 1210-nucleotide RNA transcript. RefSeq lists it as uncharacterized. The transcript has 13 exons. NCBI's taxonomy places the organism in Eukaryota, Metazoa, Chordata, Actinopteri, Characiformes, Acestrorhamphidae. The record is from RefSeq and is a predicted model, not a curated record.
UCUGGUCUAAGACAUUGGUGGAGGUCUGGUUCUGGUCUAAGCUGGUGGUGGAGGUCUGGUUCGGGUCUACGCUGGUGGUGGAGGUCUGGUUCUGGUCUACGCUGGUGGUGGAGGUCUGGUUCUGGUCUAAGCUGGUGUUGCAGGUCUAGCUCUGGUCUACGAUAUUGGUGGAGGUCUGGUUCUGGUCUAAGAUAUUGGUGAAGAUCCGGUUCUGGUCUAAGCUGGUGGUGGAGGUCGGGUUCUGGUCUAAGAUAAUGGUGGAGGUCUGGUUCUGGUCUAAGCUGGUGGUGGAGGUCUGGUUCUGGUCUAAGAUAAUGGUGGAGGUCUGGUUCUGGUCUAAGCUGGUGGUGGAGGUCUGGUUCUGGUCUAAGAUAAUGGUGGAGGUCUGGUUCUGGUCUAAGCUGGUGGUGGAGGUCUGGUUCUGGUCUAAGAUAAUGGUGGAGGUCUGGUUCUGGUCUAAGCUGGUGGUGGAUGUCUGGUUUUGGUCUAAGAUAUUGGUGGAGGCCUGGUUCUGGUCUAAGCUGGUGGUGGAGGUCUGGUUCUGGUCUAAGCUAGUGGUGGAGGUCUGGUUCUGGUCUAAGCUGGUGGUGGAGGUCUGGUUCUGGUCUAAGCUGGUGGUGGAGGUCUGGUUCUGGUCUAAGCUGGUGGUGGAGGUCUGGUUCUGGUCUAAGCUGGUGGUGAAGGUCUGGUUCAGGUCUAAGCUGGUGGUGGAGGUAUGGUUCUGGUCUAAGUUGAUGGGGAAGGUCUGGUUCUGGUCUAAGAUAUUGGUGAAGGUCCGGUUCUGGUCUAAGCUGGUGGUGGAGGUCUGGUUCUGGUCUAAGCUAGUGGUGGAGAUCUGGUCCUGGUCAAAGAUAUUGGUGGAGGUCUGAUACAGGUCUAAGCUGGUGGUGGAGGUAUGGUUCUGGUCUAAGCUGGUGGGGGAGGUCUGGUUCUGAUCUAAGUUGGUGGGGGAGGUCUGGUUCCGGUCUCAGCUGGUGGUGGAGGUCUGGUUCUGGUCUAAGCUGGUGGUGGAGGUCUGAUGCUGGUCUAAGUUGGAGGUGGAGGUCUGGGUCUAAGCUGGUGGUGGAGGUCUGGUUCUGGUCUAAGCUGUUGGUGGAGGUCUGGUUCUGGUCUAAGCUGUUGGUGGAGGUCUGAUGCUGGUCUAAGCUGGUGGUGGAGGUCUGGGUCUAAGCUGGUGGUGGAGGUCUGGUUCUGGUCUAAGCUGGUGGUG